UCAGAGGAAGAACUUCAGAAUGC
This 23-nucleotide non-coding RNA is filed under the name Cricetulus griseus (Chinese hamster). Lineage: Eukaryota; Metazoa; Chordata; Mammalia; Rodentia; Cricetidae. The record is from RNAcentral.